UGGGGAAUAUUGCACAAUGGGGGAAACCCUGAUGCAGCGACGCCGCGUGAGCGAUGAAGUAUUUCGGUAUGUAAAGCUCUAUCAGCAGGGAAGAAUUAAGACGGUACCUGACUAAGAAGCCCCGGCUAACUACGUGCC
Molecule: ribosomal RNA, 138 nt
Filed under: uncultured bacterium
Lineage: Bacteria
Description: partial 16S ribosomal RNA
Rfam family: Bacterial small subunit ribosomal RNA
Source: RNAcentral